GGGUAUGUAGCUCAGUGGUAGAGUGCUUGCCUAGCAUGCAGGAGACCCUUGCUUUAACCCCCAGCAUUGCCU
Molecule: transfer RNA, 72 nt
Filed under: Heterocephalus glaber (naked mole-rat)
Lineage: Eukaryota; Metazoa; Chordata; Mammalia; Rodentia; Bathyergidae
Rfam family: tRNA
About the family: Transfer RNA (tRNA) molecules are approximately 80 nucleotides in length. Their secondary structure includes four short double-helical elements and three loops (D, anti-codon, and T loops).
Source: Rfam by way of RNAcentral